GGGUUGUUAGCUCAGUUGGUAGAGCGUCUGCCUUACAAGCAGAAUGUCGGCGGUUCGAUCCCGUCACAACCCACCA
RNAcentral lists this transfer RNA (76 nucleotides) under Chitinilyticum piscinae. RNAcentral describes it as "tRNA-Val". It matches the Rfam family "tRNA". From Rfam's summary of the family: Transfer RNA (tRNA) molecules are approximately 80 nucleotides in length. Their secondary structure includes four short double-helical elements and three loops (D, anti-codon, and T loops). Further hydrogen bonds mediate the characteristic L-shaped molecular structure. tRNAs have two regions of fundamental functional importance: the anti-codon, which is responsible for specific mRNA codon recognition, and the 3' end, to which the tRNAs corresponding amino acid is attached (by aminoacyl-tRNA synthetases). tRNAs cope with the degeneracy of the genetic code in two manners: having more than one tRNA (with a specific anti-codon) for a particular amino acid; and 'wobble' base-pairing, i.e. permitting non-standard base-pairing at the 3rd anti-codon position. Lineage: Bacteria; Pseudomonadati; Pseudomonadota; Betaproteobacteria; Neisseriales; Chitinibacteraceae. The record is from RNAcentral.